UGUGCUGUCAAGAUGGCGGACGAAGAAAACACACUAACUGUGAGGAUAAUUUACUUGUUAUGAAUUGGGAUUACAAUGGUAAACCGAAUAAAAUCCGCAAUGUCUUGGAUAUAACUAGCUGGGAUGUUUGUUGUUAGCAGUGUAAUAUGUCUAGAAACGUUUUGCUGAGCAUUCUCCAGCUCUAGCUAGCUGAAAACAUAGCAGCUAGCUAACGACUAACGUUAGCUUGUUAAUGCUAGCAAAGUCGUUACAGCUCCGUAUGGGGCCAUGGCUAAAGGAUCCAGCUUUUGUCAAAUUAACGUCAAAAGUUGGAAGGUUUUGCAUUUUAACUAACCCUAACCCUUUUCCUAAUCUUAACCUAAUUGUCACAACCUGCUACAUUAAUACGUUUUGCUUAGCUAGAUAAUUAGCUAAACUCAAGAAAUUAAUGUCAUAACGUUAUUUUUUUUAAAUCAACGGGUAUGCCUUUAUUCCAUCCGUCGAUAAUUAAUGUGCAUUCAAUUCAAAUAGUUCAAAGAUUUAUCUUGCGUUCUUAAUGACCCCCAAUAUUACUGGACGCCACAAGCAGAUGUGAAGUCGUCAUUACUAGUCGGCGACACGUUGUUAUUGUUGGACAGCAAACAUGGCGGAUGAAAGUGUUGCUGGAGCCAGCCUUUUUAACUUUCGUUAAUGCUUUUGGUAAAUAAUGCUAAGUCUACUUUCUAGUAGUCAGAAUAAUCUCACUCGAGAAAUACGCCUGAGCAGACAACGAUAUGACGUUGAACGACAGCACAGACGACGACAGUUUUUGCGAUUACGCGCUCCAACCACUAUAUGUACUGACGAAAGACGCAGCAAUCGAGGAUGCAACAUGCUUUCGAGGUGUGUGGAAGCGGGAUAGAAGACGCGGUGAAGAUGUUUGCAGUAUGAUGUUGGAUGGUUUAGACUAUGAUCAAUGGCGCAAACACUUCCGCAUGACUCGGACCACAUUUGAACACCUUGCACAGUUAGUAGAGUCUGAGAACUAAACAGACCACCAAUGUCUGAAACACAAUUGAAUACCGUGGUGUGCAACACCAAGCGACUACCACAUUAUUUCAAGUUUAUUUGGAGUCAGUGUCUCCACUGUUUGCAUCAUUCUAAGACAGGAGACUGCAGCUGUCGUGAAGACAAGUACAACCGUUUUAUUUCGCUACCUGGUGGUAAAGGCAUCCUAGCCACCAUCUGUGGGUUUAAGCAGCUUGGGUAUCCACAAUGUGCUGGUGACAUCGGCGAGACACACAUCCCCAUCACUGCCCCAAAAGAAUAUCCAAAGGACUACUUGAACAGCAAAGGGCAGCAUUAUCCUGUGUUGCAGGCUGUUGCUGAUCACAACCUCUGAGUUCAGCGAUUGUCAUUGGUAUAGAGAUACCAGUUAAUCUGGUAGGAGACCCAGCCUACCCACUGAAGAGGUGGUUAAUGACAGGCUUUUCCCAGGACACAUCUCUGAAUAACCACCAGCAGAAGUUUAAUGACCACCUGAGUUCUGCCAGGGUGGCUAUUGACGACGUCUUAGGACGCUUGAAGGGAUGCUAGAGAUGUUUGGUAAAGUGCAUCAACGUUGACGACAGACACUAACGGCAUGUUGCAUACUGCACAAUGUGUGCGAACUGAAGAAAGAACAGUUUCUGGCAUGAAAGAAACAUUGGCCAAGAUCAGUUGAAGAAAGAACCGUUUCUGGCUGAAUGGAACUGGAUCAUCAGCAGACAGAGGCUUAGCUCACAGAGCAAGAUCAUAGUUUACUACAAGGGCCAGUGGUGGAAAGUGUUGCUACCGUACGGGAUGCCAUUAUGACCUCUUUACAGGACACCAUCAUAACCGUGCACGGAUGUUUUAGCUUUGUGGUGCAAGUUGUUUGUGAUUAUUGUUAAAUACCGCGGUGCUCAAGUUGUGGCUAUGCCAACAAAGAACAUUUCGUAACAACGUUGUGAAUUUGCAGUGCAACACUUUUUUUAAAUAUUUUUUUUGCCUGAAUGCUAUUUACUUUUGCACAGUAUGUUUUCAAGAUGUUUGUGAAUUAUGUUAGACUUUGUAUUUGUACGAUUUUUUUUUGUUACGUGAACGUUAUGUUACAUUACUUUGUACUUUUAAGAUUUAUGUGAAUGCUUUGUUCUUGGAAGAGAUCCUCAAUAAAUGUGUUUUAUGAA
Salmo salar (Atlantic salmon) is the source of this 2165-nucleotide non-coding RNA. The record is from RefSeq and is a predicted model, not a curated record. NCBI's taxonomy places the organism in Eukaryota, Metazoa, Chordata, Actinopteri, Salmoniformes, Salmonidae.